Molecule: transfer RNA, 72 nt
Filed under: Fusarium graminearum
Lineage: Eukaryota; Fungi; Ascomycota; Sordariomycetes; Hypocreales; Nectriaceae
Also listed under: 16 other names
Description: tRNA-Ala (TGC) (tRNA-Ala-TGC-1-1)
Rfam family: tRNA
About the family: Transfer RNA (tRNA) molecules are approximately 80 nucleotides in length.
Source: RNAcentral
GGGGAUAUGGUGUAGGGGUAUCACGUUCGCUUUGCAUGCGAAAGGCCGGGGGUUCAAAUCCCUCUGUCUCCA